ACUCCCGUAGCCCAAUUUUGGCAGAGGCGAUAGACUUAGACUCUAUGCGUUGCUGGUUCGAAUCCAGCCGGGAGUACCA
This 79-nucleotide transfer RNA is filed under the name Candidatus Asgardarchaeum californiense. RNAcentral describes it as "tRNA-Leu". It matches the Rfam family "tRNA". From Rfam's summary of the family: Transfer RNA (tRNA) molecules are approximately 80 nucleotides in length. Their secondary structure includes four short double-helical elements and three loops (D, anti-codon, and T loops). Lineage: Archaea; Promethearchaeati; Candidatus Asgardarchaeia (ex Tamarit et al. 2024); Candidatus Asgardarchaeales (ex Tamarit et al. 2024); Candidatus Asgardarchaeaceae. The record is from RNAcentral.